This 353-nucleotide unclassified non-coding RNA is filed under the name uncultured Lepiota. RNAcentral's name for it is "partial contains 5.8S ribosomal RNA, internal transcribed spacer 2, and large subunit ribosomal RNA". The stretch from base 1 to 102 matches the Rfam family "5.8S ribosomal RNA", at positions 53 to 154 of the family's 154-position model. The record is from RNAcentral. Lineage: Eukaryota; Fungi; Basidiomycota; Agaricomycetes; Agaricales; Agaricaceae.
AUGCGAUAAGUAAUGUGAAUUGCAGAAUUCAGUGAAUCAUCGAAUCUUUGAACGCACCUUGCGCUCCUUGGUAUUCCGAGGAGCAUGCCUGUUUGAGUGUCAUUAAAUUCUCAACCCUUCCAGCUUUUGUGGCUGGUCGUGGCUUGGAUGUGGGAGAUACUGCAGGCCUCUCUGUAUUUGAGGUCAGCUCUCCUGAAAUGCAUUAGCGGAACUGUUUGCGGAUCCGUCACUGGUGUGAUAAUUAUCUACGCCAACGAUGACCGCUCUCUAUGUGUUCAGCUUCUAACUGUCUCUUUGUGGACAACUUUUGAACCUUUGACCUCAAAUCAGGUAGGACUACCCGCUGAACUUAA